RNAcentral lists this ribosomal RNA (433 nucleotides) under uncultured bacterium. RNAcentral describes it as "partial 16S ribosomal RNA". It matches the Rfam family "Bacterial small subunit ribosomal RNA", at positions 29 to 507 of the family's 1533-position model. The record is from RNAcentral.
AACGAACGCUGGCGGCAUGCCUAACACAUGCAAGUCGAUCGAGACCUUCGGGUCUAGUGGCGCACGGGUGCGUAACGCGUGGGAACCUGCCCUUAGGUUCGGAAUAACUCCCCGAAAGGGGUGCUAAUACCGGAUAAUGUCUUCGGACCAAAGAUUUAUCGCCUUUGGAUGGGCCCGCGUUGGAUUAGCUAGUUGGUAGGGUAAAAGCCUACCAAGGCGACGAUCCAUAGCUGGUCUGAGAGGAUGAUCAGCCACACUGGGACUGAGACACGGCCCAGACUCCUACGGGAGGCAGCAGUGGGGAAUAUUGGACAAUGGGCGAAAGCCUGAUCCAGCAAUGCCGCGUGAGUGAUGAAGGCCUUAGGGUUGUAAAGCUCUUUUACCCGGGAUGAUAAUGACAGUACCGGGAGAAUAAGCGCCGGCUAACUCCGUG